AAGGUGUAGCGUGCGAUUGCUUAAAAAUUUUAAGAGGAAAGUCCGGACUACAAUGGAGCAGGAUUCCAUCUAACAGAUGGCUAUCGUAAGAUAAGGGAAAGUGCAACAGAAAGCAAACCGCCAACAUAAGAUUCACAAAAAGAAUUCUAUGGCUUGGUAAGGGUGAAAGGGCGAGGUAAGAGCUCACCGGAUUUUAAGCAAUUAAAGUCGCAAUGUAAACCCAAUUCGUAGCAAGAAGAGCAGGUUAUAAGCUCCAUAUUUUUAGCUCUUCGCUUAAAGAUUAUUGUGAAAUAAUCCUUAGAUAAAUAAUCGCACACGACAGAAUCCGGCUUAUAGCUACACCUUUUAU
RNAcentral lists this RNase P RNA (349 nucleotides) under Helicobacter sp. 16-1353. RNAcentral describes it as "RNase P RNA component class A". It matches the Rfam family "Bacterial RNase P class A". Rfam says of the family: Ribonuclease P (RNase P) is a ubiquitous endoribonuclease, found in archaea, bacteria and eukarya as well as chloroplasts and mitochondria. Its best characterised activity is the generation of mature 5'-ends of tRNAs by cleaving the 5'-leader elements of precursor-tRNAs. Cellular RNase Ps are ribonucleoproteins. The record is from RNAcentral. Lineage: Bacteria; Pseudomonadati; Campylobacterota; Epsilonproteobacteria; Campylobacterales; Helicobacteraceae.